AACGGGUUGUCGCUGGUCCCGUUCUUAACAGAGUCGGGACAUGGGCACACCUGGCUUCAUUCCACUCUUCAACCCCUGGGCACUUGUUGUAGGUUUCAGGUCGGACGCGGGGCUUUUGACUUCAUCGUCGAGAGCCUCAAGGAAAGCCUGAGCCUAUGUUUUACCACACACACGCUUCAGUUAUAGAAUGUAAACAUCGCGUAUAACGCAUUUUAAAUACAACUUUCAGCAACGGAUCUCUUGGCUCUCGCAUCGAUGAAGAACGCAGCGAAAUGCGAUAAGUAAUGUGAAUUGCAGAAUUCAGUGAAUCAUCGAAUCUUUGAACGCACCUUGCGCUCCUUGGUAUUCCGAGGAGCAUGCCUGUUUGAGUGUCAUGGAAUUCUCAACCUUUGAAAGCUUUUUUGGGUUCCCAAAGGUUGGGAUUGGGAGGCCGGGCCGGUUCUGCAAAAAACAUCUCCUCCUCUGAGACUCAUCGCGGCCCAUCUUUACUCGUCGUCUUCGGGGUGAAAAACUACUACGCCGUGGACAAGAAUGAUGAUGGCCGCCGUGCUUCUCACCGCCUUCGUUGGAAGACAAAUGCUGUGCUACNUACUAUAUANGACAUGAGCAUUGGCCCUCUGACCUCGAAUGACGUCCCACUGCCCGUUGAACUUACCCAUAUCANUAGAAAAAAGACUAGAAACUANUCCNCUAUCCCCUGGUAACUGGCGAGUGAAGAG
RNAcentral lists this ribosomal RNA (719 nucleotides) under fungal sp. MX490. RNAcentral's name for it is "eukaryotic LSU rRNA". The stretch from base 221 to 374 matches the Rfam family "5.8S ribosomal RNA". Lineage: Eukaryota; Fungi. The record is from RNAcentral.